Molecule: transfer RNA, 75 nt
Filed under: Marinobacter sp.
Lineage: Bacteria; Pseudomonadati; Pseudomonadota; Gammaproteobacteria; Pseudomonadales; Marinobacteraceae
Also listed under: 1 other name
Description: tRNA-Thr
Rfam family: tRNA
About the family: Transfer RNA (tRNA) molecules are approximately 80 nucleotides in length.
Source: RNAcentral
GGCCCUGUGGUGCUAAUGGGAACAUACUUCGCUCGUAACGAAGUGAUCUCGGUUCGAUUCCGAGCAGGGCCUCCA